Non-coding RNA from Candidatus Nitrososphaera gargensis Ga9.2, 75 nucleotides. Lineage: Archaea; Thermoproteati; Nitrososphaerota; Nitrososphaeria; Nitrososphaerales; Nitrososphaeraceae. The record is from Rfam.
GGGCAGCUGGUCUAGCUCGGUUAUGAUACCGCUCUUACACAGCGGUGGUCGGGUGUUCAAAUCACCCGCUGCCCA